Molecule: long non-coding RNA, 1104 nt
Filed under: Felis catus (domestic cat)
Lineage: Eukaryota; Metazoa; Chordata; Mammalia; Carnivora; Felidae
Description: lncRNA (ENSFCAG00000043608.2)
Source: RNAcentral
AAUGGAUAUAGGAAAGAAUGUUUCACAUACAGGUGAUCCAGCAGAACUUCUCUUGGCUGGCUGUAACUGUAAAUGGUCCAUACAACAGCUAUAGCCUGCUAAGAGUAGGAAUUAGUAUAUGGUAGGUAUGGAGAAGUGGCACUCAGUUCUCUUUAAGGAAGGUUUCAGGAAGUGUCAUUAGCAGAUAGCCUCUAGCUGUCAACUUCUUCAGUGUUGGCUUCAGCUGCACAGAUUCACUUCUCCCAUGUUUCCACUCUUCCAGAAGAAGCUUCAUCUGAUGGCACAGGUAUAGAAGCCUGGCCAUUUUGUACUGGCAAAGGGUAACUCCAAAAGGCAACCUUUGCCCCAGAACUUACUGCUGGGUCGGUCAAGACUUUAUCAUGCCUAUAUUGUGCUCUCUCUUUGCCUGAUCUUGCUUCCUCUUUCUUCUUUCACAAGGGUCAUCCUUAAUAUAAAUCCUGGACCUCAGACUUCUUACUUUCUCUUCUGAGGAAUGCAACCUGUGACAGAGAAUCACUGAUCCUUUAUUGAUGAGAGUCUGGGUCACUCCAGCAGGACCAGAGUACAAGAUUAAGGAAAUUGAUGUUCCUCCAUGUUAUGUUAACCGUGGACCAAACAAAAUACCUUUCUUCUUCUGCCUCCUUGGGCACUGAGAUGUCACAGAUGCUGUAAAGGUUCAGGAGCUUGGAUAGGGCAUUGAUCUUUAAAACACUCUCAUCAUCACGGAGCAAACCAAACAAAUUAUCUCUCUUGUUUGUGAAGCCAAAUGGGGUAUUAACUGCUACAGGAUCAGAAAAUCAUUUCCAACAAAGACUAUUCAAAAGGUAAUACUUUCUUUCAGAUUUUCCUAACUUUGCAAAGGUGAUGAAAAAGCAUAUCAGAAUAGUGUAGGACAAUGGUCAGUCACUUCUAUUUGGUAUAUCUGGAUAUGUAUUAAAUAGAUAUACAUCAACUAUAUCUACUUACUUCCUAUGUAAUGAUGAUCUCAUGGCUAAGUUUCAUUGUUAUCGACUCCAUCCCUGGGGAACCAAUGUAUACAGUGGUUUUUGAAGUUAAAUUCUUAUGCUAGCAGUUUCUGACAUCACAUACAAUUCUCUUAGUGCC